AUUGAACGCUGGCGGCAUGCCUUACACAUGCAAGUCGAACGGUAACAGGUCUUCGGAUGCUGACGAGUGGCGGACGGGUGCGUAAUACAUCGGAACGUGCCCGAUCGUGGGGGAUAACGGGGCGAAAGCUUUGCUAAUACCGCAUACGAUCUACGGAUGAAAGCGGGGGAUCUUCGGACCUCGCGCGGGCGGAGCGGCCGAUGGCAGAUUAGGUAGUUGGUGGGAUAAAAGCUUACCAAGCCGACGAUCUGUAGCUGGUCUGAGAGGAUGAUCAGCCACACUGGGACUGAGACACGGCCCAGACUCCUACGGGAGGCAGCAGUGGGGAAUUUUGGACAAUGGGCGAAAGCCUGAUCCAGCCAUGCCGCGUGCAGGAUGAAGGCCUUCGGGUUGUAAACUGCUUUUGUACGGAACGAAAAGCCUCUUUCUAAUAAAGAGGGGUCAUGACGGUACCGGAAGAAUAAGCACCGGCUAACUACGUG
RNAcentral lists this ribosomal RNA (482 nucleotides) under uncultured bacterium. Its description in RNAcentral is "partial 16S ribosomal RNA". It matches the Rfam family "Bacterial small subunit ribosomal RNA", at positions 30 to 507 of the family's 1533-position model. The record is from RNAcentral.